This 401-nucleotide ribosomal RNA is filed under the name uncultured bacterium. RNAcentral describes it as "bacterial SSU rRNA". It matches the Rfam family "Bacterial small subunit ribosomal RNA", at positions 28 to 429 of the family's 1533-position model. The record is from RNAcentral.
GACGAACGCUGGCGGCGUGCCUAACACAUGCAAGUCGAGCGAAUGAAGUUCCUCCGGGAACGGAUUUAGCGGCGGACGGGUGAGUAACACGUGGGCAACCUGCCUCAUAGAGGGGAAUAGCCUUCCGAAAGGGAGAUUAAUACCGCAUUAAGAUUGUAGUACCGCAUGGUACAGCAAUUAAAGGAGCAAUCCGCUAUGAGAUGGGCCCGCGGCGCAUUAGCUAGUUGGUGAGGUAACGGCUCACCAAGGCGACGAUGCGUAGCCGACCUGAGAGGGUGAUCGGCCACAUUGGGACUGAGACACGGCCCAGACUCCUACGGGAGCAGCAGUGGGGAAUAUUGCACAAUGGGGGAAACCCUGAUGCAGCAACGCCGCGUGAGUGAUGACGGCCUCGGUGUAAG